Molecule: ribosomal RNA, 510 nt
Filed under: uncultured Streptococcus sp.
Lineage: Bacteria; Bacillati; Bacillota; Bacilli; Lactobacillales; Streptococcaceae
Description: bacterial SSU rRNA
Rfam family: Bacterial small subunit ribosomal RNA
Source: RNAcentral
GACGAACGCUGGCGGCGUGCCUAAUACAUGCAAGUAGAACGCUGAAGAGAGGAGCUUGCUCUUCUUGGAUGAGUUGCGAACGGGUGAGUAACGCGUAGGUAACCUGCCUUGUAGCGGGGGAUAACUAUUGGAAACGAUAGCUAAUACCGCAUAACAAUGGAUGACUCAUGUCAUUUAUUUGAAAGGGGCAAAUGCUCCACUACAAGAUGGACCUGCGUUGUAUUAGCUAGUAGGUGAGGUAACGGCUCACCUAGGCGACGAUACAUAGCCGACCUGAGAGGGUGAUCGGCCACACUGGGACUGAGACACGGCCCAGACUCCUACGGGAGGCAGCAGUAGGGAAUCUUCGGCAAUGGGGGCAACCCUGACCGAGCAACGCCGCGUGAGUGAAGAAGGUUUUCGGAUCGUAAAGCUCUGUUGUAAGUCAAGAACGAGUGUGAGAGUGGAAAGUUCACACUGUGACGGUAGCUUACCAGAAAAGGACGGCUAACUACGUGCUAGCAGCCGCGG